UAACACAAUUUUGCGGUGUUAAUAUAAUUCAAAGUGUGCGAAAUUGAACGACGACCUUUUUCUGAAUGUAUGUGGUAAUGAUAACCGCUAAUAUAUAAAUUCUUUAUAGAGUAAUCAGCAUAACGUAAGAUUCUCACAUGAUUUAAGGUGUAGGUAUAUCUUAAAUCGUGAACACACAUCUUGGAAAGUAAGUAGGUAUCUAUUAACAUUUUUCGGAAUUAAU
Non-coding RNA from Cinara cedri, 223 nucleotides. Lineage: Eukaryota; Metazoa; Arthropoda; Insecta; Hemiptera; Aphididae. The record is from the annotation of a GenBank genome assembly.